This is a long non-coding RNA of Phyllopteryx taeniolatus (common seadragon), 2320 nucleotides long. RefSeq lists it as uncharacterized. The transcript has 2 exons. The record is from RefSeq and is a predicted model, not a curated record. NCBI's taxonomy places the organism in Eukaryota, Metazoa, Chordata, Actinopteri, Syngnathiformes, Syngnathidae.
AAUCAUGAAAUCAAAUUGCAAAUGAUUUUCAGUUGUCAAAUUCUGGUUUAAAUUUUAAGGUUUACGUGGCUAAAAUUUAGAUUUGAAUAAGAUGAAUUGACAAGUCUCGCUGGUUUAUAUUUGACAUUGUUUAUAAGACGAUGUGCCAUUUAUUCAUGAAACAAGUAUCUACCGGUAAUUUAUUUAACUUCGUCCAUCAUUGUAAAACCCACAAAGAUAUCUAAGCAACAUUAACGCCACAGUUUAGUUUACGGAGAGGUUGUCAAACAUUGACUAAGGUUCUGGUUAGUUAUGUUUUUAAUUGAGAAGACAAAGUAAUAGAUAAUACAGGGACUGGUUUGGGACCAGGCGGCACGGUGGCCGACUGGUUAGAGCGUCAGCCUCACAGUUCUGAGGUGCGGGGUUCAAUCCCCGUCCCCGCCUGUGUGGAGUUUGCAUGUUCUCCCCGUGCCUGCGUGGGUUUUCUCCGGGCACUCCGGUUUCCUCCCACAUCCCAAAAACAUGCAUUAAUUGGAGACUCUAAAUUGCCCGUAGGCAUGACUGUGAGUGCGAAUGGGUGUUUGUUUCUAUGUGCCCUGCGAUUGGCUGGCAACCAGUUCAGGGUGUACCCCGCCUCCUGCCCGAUGACAGCUGGGAUAGGCUCCAGCACGCCCGCGACCCUAGUGAGGAGAAGCGGCUCAGAAAAUGGAUGGAUGGAUGGGUUUGGGACCAUUGAGAAAAACUACGUUGAUUGCAAAUGUGUUAGUAAGGCUAACUAACACAAGUACAGAUACUCAGUGCAGUCGCUAAUGUGCAAAAAUAUGUUGUAUGCUGCGCAAGAUAAUAUGAUUUAUGACUAGGGUUGGGCAUCGUUUGAGCGAUUCCGGUUCCUUAGUUUUGAUUCCGGUUCCAAAUGAUUCUCGAUUCUGAUUCUUUUAGGGGGCUGGGUUAAAAAAAUUUGCAUGGUUUAAAUAAAGUGUGUCCAAAUUAUUAGCAUCUAUUUUAUUAGCAGCCCGCAGCAUGGACUAAAAUGAACAUUUAACUCGAACCAGUAUUAAUAUCAAACCUUUGAACUAAAAUGCAAUGUGUUUGGAACUAACCCAAUUUACUUAAUUAAUGUUUCAGCUAAAAGUUAAAUAUAGCAUUGUUAAAAUAGUUAUUUUAACUGUUGUAACUAUUUUAUUUUAUUGUUUCACUCACCCAGUUGACUGAGAGUUGACUUCACUGACAGCGUUGUUAAAAUAGUAAUUUAACAAUGUUAUAUAGCUGCCCCUGUAUUCUGUUUCAUCACAUCAAAUGGAUUGUAUGUGCAAGUUUUAACUUGACUUCUUGUUUUAAACUUGUAGCCUUUUAUUUUGAAGGGUACGCACCGGAGCUCAGCAUUUUGGGACGAAAAGUAUCUUCACACGGGACCGGUGAUUUUUAUUUUUUUAAUGGAUGGAACCAAAUGCUCUAAAACGCGGAUUCCUUUCCCUACCCACCCAUGAGACACAAGAGGCUGCUGAGCCACCAACACUUUACGAUUGCUGAUUGCUACCAUGUGACCAAAGCUGAGAUAAAUAACAGGCGGACUGCCGCUAAACAGAAGGUAAGACAAACAUUUUGGCUGCUUCGCUUAAAGGCAUGAAAUUCGGAGGCUGUUUGAAAUUUUCUCAAAGCCACAACUACCCGGACUGAAUUCAUGCUGUUGAAAAGGGUCUGGAUCUGUAAUAUAGGCUGUUUUUUUAACGGUAUUGCCCUCAAAACAUUUGGAUUUCGUCUUGCCACCUUAUUCCAUAACCCUGACAUAUUGCAUGAAGAACAGGAAAGAUAUUUGUCACGUGUGACAUACAAAUUCCUUCAGCUCCUUUAAAUGGUCAGCAUCACAGGUGAAAGUAUGUGAAGCAUACGGGAGAUUGUUGUCAUUUAGCAUGCAGUCAGUACUUUCUGUAGCCCUCUUCACAGCCUUGCUGACCAGUCUUCCUUCAAGGCAUAUUACCUCUUUCACUGCCAGCCUUCACAGUUAACGUGGAUAUUUGACUUCUAAAGCCAUCAAUGGCAGUGAAUGUGUUUUAAGAAUAAAGGAGAUCGUUGUCACAUGUAGGACUCUGCCAGAAAUGAAAAUAUGGAAGACUGUUGCCCCUUGUUGGAUAGAGCCAGUACUUGCUGUGAGGCCUCUUUGUAGCCUCCUGACAAGUUUUCUUCCCAGGCAUAUUAAGACAACAGGAGAUUGUUGCCCCUUGUAGGAGUCAAAUGCAGAACUACUCACCACAAUGACAACCACUGGGUGGAGAAGCGUUUGAUUAGUCCCCUCCACAGCCGCAAACGUGGCCUCCACUUUAUCCAAAUCAGAGUCAUUCAU